Molecule: ribosomal RNA, 585 nt
Filed under: uncultured bacterium
Lineage: Bacteria
Description: partial 16S ribosomal RNA
Rfam family: Bacterial small subunit ribosomal RNA
Source: RNAcentral
UGGGGAAUUUUGGACAAUGGGCGAAAGCCUGAUCCAGCAAUGCCGCGUGUGUGAAGAAGGCCUUCGGGUUGUAAAGCACUUUUGUCCGGAAAGAAAUCCUUGGCUCUAAUACAGUCGGGGGAUGACGGUACCGGAAGAAUAAGCACCGGCUAACUACGUGCCAGCAGCCGCGGUAAUACGUAGGGUGCAAGCGUUAAUCGGAAUUACUGGGCGUAAAGCGUGCGCAGGCGGUUUGCUAAGACCGAUGUGAAAUCCCCGGGCUCAACCUGGGAACUGCAUUGGUGACUGGCAGGCUAGAGUAUGGCAGAGGGGGGUAGAAUUCCACGUGUAGCGGUGAAAUGCGUAGAGAUGUGGAGGAAUACCGAUGGCGAAGGCAGCCCCCUGGGCCAAUACUGACGCUCAUGCACGAAAGCGUGGGGAGCAAACAGGAUUAGAUACCCUGGUAGUCCACGCCCUAAACGAUGUCAACUAGUUGUUGGGGAUUCAUUUCCUUAGUAACGUAGCUAACGCGUGAAGUUGACCGCCUGGGGGAGUACGGUCGCAAGAUUAAAACUCAAAUGAAUUGACGGGGUCAUAGCUGUUUCC